Molecule: transfer RNA, 69 nt
Filed under: Dipodomys ordii (Ord's kangaroo rat)
Lineage: Eukaryota; Metazoa; Chordata; Mammalia; Rodentia; Heteromyidae
Rfam family: tRNA
About the family: Transfer RNA (tRNA) molecules are approximately 80 nucleotides in length. Their secondary structure includes four short double-helical elements and three loops (D, anti-codon, and T loops).
Source: Rfam by way of RNAcentral
GGGAAAGUGGUUCAGUGGUAGAACACUUGCCUUGCAUGCAAGAGGCCUGGGUUCUAUUCCUCAGCACCA